Molecule: ribosomal RNA, 1645 nt
Filed under: Staphylococcus sp. IGCAR-6/07
Lineage: Bacteria; Bacillati; Bacillota; Bacilli; Caryophanales; Staphylococcaceae
Description: partial 16S ribosomal RNA
Rfam family: Bacterial small subunit ribosomal RNA
Source: RNAcentral
GAGCACAGUAUUGGAGCCUCUCGAGUUUGAUCCUGGCUCAUAGGUCCUAUAAGGUAACCAGUAUUGGAUCCCCACAGUUUGUUCCCGGCCCAAUAAGACUGAACAAGGUUACCGGAAUUGGUCCCCUACCGUUUAAUAUUUUGAACCGCAUGGUUCAAUAGUGAAAGACGGCCUUGCUGUCACUUAUUUAUGGAUCCGCGCCGUAUUAGCUAGUUGGUAAGGUAACGGCUUACCAAGGCAACGAUACGUAGCCGACCUGAGAGGGUGAUCGGCCACACUGGAACUGAGACACGGUCCAGACUCCUACGGGAGGCAGCAGUAGGGAAUCUUCCGCAAUGGGCGAAAGCCUGACGGAGCAACGCCGCGUGAGUGAUGAAGGUCUUCGGAUCGUAAAACUCUGUUAUCAGGGAAGAACAAACGUGUAAGUAACUGUGCACGUCUUGACGGUACCUGAUCAGAAAGCCACGGCUAACUACGUGCCAGCAGCCGCGGUAAUACGUAGGUGGCAAGCGUUAUCCGGAAUUAUUGGGCGUAAAGCGCGCGUAGGCGGUUUUUUAAGUCUGAAGUGAAAGCCCACGGCUCAACCGUGGAGGGUCAUUGGAAACUGGAAAACUUGAGUGCAGAAAAAGAAAGUGGAAUUCCCUGUGUAGCGGUGAAAUGCGCAAAGAUUUGGAAGAACACCCGUGGCGAAAGCCACUUUCUGGUCUGUAACUGACGCUGAAGUGCGAAAGCGUGGGGAUCAAACCGGAUUAAAUACCCUGGUAAUCCACGCCCUAAACGAUGAAUGCUAAGUGUUAAAGGGGUUUCCCCUAGUGCUGCCGCAGUGCAGAAGAGGAAAGUGGAAUUCCAUGUGUAGCGGUGAAAUGCGCAGAGAUAUGGAGGAACACCAGUGGCGAAGGCGACUUUCUGGUCUGUAACUGACGCUGAUGUGCGAAAGCGUGGGGAUCAAACAGGAUUAGAUACCCUGGUAGUCCACGCCGUAAACGAUGAGUGCUAAGUGUUAGGGGGUUUCCGCCCCUUAGUGCUGCAGCUAACGCAUUAAGCACUCCGCCUGGGGAGUACGACCGCAAGGUUGAAACUCAAAGGAAUUGACGGGGACCCGCACAAGCGGUGGAGCAUGUGGUUUAAUUUGAAGCAACGCGAAGAACCUUACCAAAUCUUGACAUCCUUUGACCACUCUAGAGAUAGAGUUUUCCCCUUCGGGGGACAAAGUGACAGGUGGUGCAUGGUUGUCGUCAGCUCGUGUCGUGAGAUGUUGGGUUAAGUCCCGCAACGAGCGCAACCCUUAAGCUUAGUUGCCAUCAUUAAGUUGGGCACUCUAAGUUGACUGCCGGUGACAAACCGGAGGAAGGUGGGGAUGACGUCAAAUCAUCAUGCCCCUUAUGAUUUGGGCUACACACGUGCUACAAUGGACAAUACAAAGGGCAGUUAAACCGCGAGGUCAAGCAAAUCCCAUAAAGUUGUUCUCAGUUCGGAUUGUAGUUUGCAACUCGACUACAAGAAGUAAGAAGGGAACGUAAUCGGAGAUCAGCAGGGUUCGACCCAUACGUUCCAGGGUGUAACACACACCCCCCGUCACGACCCUAGGAGUUUAACCCCGGCUCAGCAAGUCGUAACAAGGUAACCAGUAUGGCUCCUCUAGAUA